Molecule: ribosomal RNA, 231 nt
Filed under: uncultured bacterium
Lineage: Bacteria
Description: partial 16S ribosomal RNA
Rfam family: Bacterial small subunit ribosomal RNA
Source: RNAcentral
UGGGCAACCUGCCCUCAGCUCUGGGAUAACCCCGGGAAACCGGGGCUAAUACCGGAUACGACCUCCACGGGCAUCUGUGGAGGUGGAAAGGGUUUCCGGCUGAGGAUGGGCCCGCGGCCUAUCAGCUUGUUGGUGGGGUGACGGCCCACCAAGGCGACGACGGGUAGCCGGCCUGAGAGGGUGACCGGCCACACUGGGACUGAGACACGACCAAGACUCCUACGGGAGGCA